UGGGGAAUUUUGGACAAUGGGGGCAACCCUGAUCCAGCCAUUCCGCGUGAGUGAAGAAGGCCUUCGGGUUGUAAAGCUCUUUCGGCAGGAACGAAACGGUUUACCCUAAUACGGUGAGCUAAUGACGGUACCUGAAGAAGAAGCACCGGCUAACUACGUGCCAGCAGCCGCGGUAAU
This 177-nucleotide ribosomal RNA is filed under the name uncultured beta proteobacterium. RNAcentral describes it as "partial 16S ribosomal RNA". It matches the Rfam family "Bacterial small subunit ribosomal RNA", at positions 355 to 524 of the family's 1533-position model. The record is from RNAcentral. Lineage: Bacteria; Pseudomonadati; Pseudomonadota; Betaproteobacteria.